This 444-nucleotide ribosomal RNA is filed under the name uncultured bacterium. RNAcentral describes it as "partial 16S ribosomal RNA". It matches the Rfam family "Bacterial small subunit ribosomal RNA", at positions 354 to 796 of the family's 1533-position model. The record is from RNAcentral.
GUAGGGAAUAUUGGGCAAUGGAGGCAACUCUGACCCAGCCAUGCCGCGUGCAGGAAGACGGCCCUCUGGGUUGUAAACUGCUUUUAUCUGGGAAGAAAAAGGCCAUGCGUGGCAAAUUGCCGGUACCAGAUGAAUAAGCACCGGCUAACUCCGUGCCAGCAGCCGCGGUAAUACGGAGGGUGCGAGCGUUGUCCGGAUUUAUUGGGUUUAAAGGGUGCGUAGGCGGCUGAUUAAGUCAGCGGUGAAAGACUUCGGCUUAACCGGAGCAGUGUCGUUGAUACUGGUUGGCUUGAGUGUCGGAGGGGUACAUGGAAUUGAUGGUGUAGCGGUGAAAUGCAUAGAUACCAUCAGGAACCCCGAUAGCGAAGGCAUUGUACUGGCCGACAACUGACGCUGAUGCACGAAAGUGUGGGGAUCGAACAGGAUUAGAAACCCGUGUAGUCC